RNAcentral lists this long non-coding RNA (19430 nucleotides) under Triticum aestivum (bread wheat). RNAcentral describes it as "long non-coding RNA (TAES_LNC021221)". The record is from RNAcentral. Lineage: Eukaryota; Viridiplantae; Streptophyta; Magnoliopsida; Poales; Poaceae.
UCGCAUUGAAGGCAUAUGUCGCAAGUGAGGUAAUCUUCACACAACCCAUGUAAUACAUAAGGGAAAGAGAUACAUAGUUGGCUUACAAUCGCCACUUCACACAAUUACAUAAAUAAACAUUACAUCAAUCAAAUACACUCAUGGCCCGACUACGGAACCAAAAUAAAAGAAGAACCCCAACUGCGACAAAGGUCCCCUAUCGACCCCAACUGGGCUCCACUACUGAUCAACUAGAAUGAAACAAAACAAAGGACAAGAUCUUCAUCGGGCUCCUCCUGAGCUUGGUUGCGUCAUCUGCACGGACUCAUUGGCACCUGCAAGCUGGUUUUGGAAGUAUCUGUGAGCCACAGGGACUCAGCAAUCUCGCACCCUCGCGAUCAAGACUAUUUAAGCUUAUGGGUAAGGUAAAGGUAUGAGGUGGAGCUGCAGCAAGCGACUAGCAUAUAUGGUGGCUAACAUACGCAAAUUAGAGCGAGAAGAGAAGGCAAAGCACGGUCGAUAAAAGUAUGAUCAAGAAGUGAUCCUAAAACAACCUACGUCAAGCAUAACUCCAACAACCGUGUUCACUUCCCAGACACAGCCGGAAAGAGACCAUCACGGUUACACACGCGGUUGAUUCAUUUUAAUUAAGGUCGACUUCAGGUUUUCUACAACCGGACAUUAACAAAUUCCCAUCUGCCCAUAACCGCGGGCACGGCUUUCGAAAGUUCAAAUCCCUGCAGGGGUGUCCCAACUUAGCCCAUGACAAGCUCUCAUGGUCAACGAAGGAAUAGACCUCCACCCGAGACAUUCCGAUCAGACUCGGUAUCCCGGUAUAACAAGACAUUUCGACAGGGUAAAACUAAACCAGCACCACCGCCCGAAUGUGCCGACAAAUCCCGAUAGGAGCUGCACAUAUCUCUUUCUCAGGGCACACCGGAUCGUCCAAACUUCCGGUAGGCCAGCCCAGAGUUGCCCCUGGUGGCCACCGGCGGCUGACAAGUUGGACCAACACUCAGAGGAGCACUGGCCCGGGGGGUAAAAUAAUGAUGACCCUCAGGAGCGCGACUCCCAAGGGAAAAGAAAAGGCUAGGUGGCAAAUGGUAAAACCAAUGUUGGGCAUUCCUGGAAGAGCUUUACUUAAGGCGAACUGUCAAGGGGUUCCCAUUAUAGCCCAACCGCGUAAGGGACGCAAAAUCCGGGAACAUAACACCGAUAUGACGGAAACUAGGGCGGCAAGAGUGGAACAAAACACCAGGCAUAAGGCCAAGCCUUCCACCCUUUACCAAGUAUAUAGAUGCAUUAAUUAAAAAGAUAUAUUGUGAUAUCCCAACAAGUAAACAUGUUCCCACAAUGAACAACAUCUCCAUGUUCCAACAAGGAACACACUUCAAUCUUCACCUGCAACUAACAACGCUAUAAGAGGGGCUGAGCAAAGCGAUAACAUAGCCAAUCAACGGUUUGCUAGGACAUGGUGGGUUAGAGGUUUGACAUGGCAAUUUGGGAGGCUGACAAGCAAAAGGUAGGCAUCAUAGCAUUGGCAUAGCAAAGAGCGAGCAAACUAGCAUAGCAAAGAUAGUAGUGAUUUCGAGGGUAUGAUCAUCUUGCCUGAAAUCCCGCAAGAAAGAAGAACGAGUCCAUGAAGAAGCCAAACGGACAUAGUCGAACGAAUCCUCACAACACGACGUUAUCGGAACCAACCCGAAGAAGCAACACCGGAAAAGAGCAAACAACAUAGUAAACAACCAUCACAUAAACAUGUCAUGAUGCACAAUCAAGUAUGAUGCAUGUCCGGUUUAAAUAUGCAUGGCAUGGCAAAGUGCACAAACGAUCUUACAAAUUAAGUGGAGCUCAAUAUGCAACGGGUUGCAUAUUGACGGAACACCACAUCCAUUAUUUAGUUCUCUCUCGGUUAUGAACCCAACAAGAUUAAAUGUUGCUAGCAUGGCAAGAGGGUGAAGCAAAGAAAAACCACCUAUCUAGGGAAGUUUAAAUGAGGCCGGAAACAACGAACAACGAUUCCGGUAAAUCCCCAUGUGCAUAUAUUAGGUUUGGUCCUGUUCUGCCCUAAACAUAAUUUUAGAGUUGUUAAGCAUGCAAAAUGAAGCCAUCAUGUUAAACUAGACAUUUUUCUACCCCAUUUACAUAUAAAGUUUAUUAAGUUCGGAGCUACGGUUAAUUAGUUAUGAAUUAAAGCAUUUUAACAUGGCAUAGGAGCAAAAAAUUAAUCAAACAACAUUUUAAACAUUUUAAACAUAGAUGAAAAUGGCAUAUUAUUAAUCUACACAAAAUUCUGAGCAAGUUUCAUAUAUAAAACAUUUUAAUCCGAUGCACGGUUAGUGAGUUAUUAAAUGCAUGAACCAGGGGGACUUUUCUGCAAAACGGGCAAACUCUGGAAAAUUGGACAAAUCGCAGAUCUGUAGAAAAACACAUGUGGGCCGAAUCUGGAACAGGGGCCGAACAGGGCAGGCGCUGGGAGCGGCUCACCCUGGGCUUUGGCCCGUCGGUGGGAGGAGGGAGGCCUGCAGGGGCUAUGCUGGACUGGGUAAGGCAGGCGACUGGGCUUCGGCGCAGGCGCGGUGUUGGGCCNNNNNNNNNNNNNNNNNNNNNNNNNNGGCGCACCUGGCAGCCCACACAGCUAGCCAUCUGGGCCGGUGCGGGGCCCAUCAAGGCGAUAGGAGGAACCGCAUCAUCCUCCUCGUGCUCCUAGGUGAGCAGGAAGCCAUGGAAGGCGGCGGCGGCGGCUUGACGUCGGUGAGGCACGGAGGAGUGCCCAGAGGUACGGAUCCGGACGGGAUCCACCUGAUCCGUCCGUUUCCGGCGCCGGUGGGGAGCUCCGGUGAGCGGGGCGACCAAGGCGGACGACGGGUGCCUACGGGAGAGAGAGAAAGAGGAUGAGAGGGAGAAAGAGGAGGCAGGUAGGGGAAGGAAGGAGAGCGGCGCGGUGACCUGGCCUGGGGAGAUGGCGGCACGCCGGCGAGGUGCACAACGGCGGCGGGGCCCAAGGUCGUCAACGGGAGGGGUGAUGGUGGCGCUCCCCCGAUCCAGCUCGGGGUCGAGCAGGAGGAGGGCGCGGGCUGCGCGAGGAACGGACGCGUCGGNNNNNNNNNNNNNNNNNNNNNNNNNNNNNNNNNNNNNNNNNNNNNNNNNNNNNNNNNNNNNNNNNNNNNNNNNNNNNNNNNNNNNNNNNNNNNNNNNNNNNNNNNNNNNNNNNNNNNNNNNNNNNNNNNNNNNNNNNNNNNNNNNNNNNNNNNNNNNNNNNNNNNNNNNNNNNNNNNNNNNNNNNNNNNNNNNNNNNNCGGGCGGCCGCGCGGGCCUGGGCGGGCCGCGCCUGGGCUCGGCGGGUCGCGGUGAAGUGGGGCACUAGGGAGGCGACGUGGCAGCGCCCGGUUGGCCAGGGCGACGCCUCAGGUGGCGGCUGGCCUUUGGCAACGCCCCAAGUGGCGACGGGAAGGUGGCUGCGCGCGGAAAUCGAGGAGAAGGUGGCUGGCGGCUGCGGGGAUUCCGAAGGGAAGGCUAGAAGUAGGUGGAGGGGGUUUAGGGUUCUAAAAAUGGAAGGGGAAGGUCUAUAUAUAGACAAGGGGGCUAUGUUAGGGGGAUUUUAGUCCGUUCCGGAGCCGUUCGAUCCCGAUCGGACGACCCGGAGCGGAGGGGGUUAGAUAGGUGGGCUAGUGGUCUGUGAAGAGAGGAGAGGAGUGCAGCCCGGCAACUGUUUCCGCAGACUAUAAUGUCGCUAUAGUUAUCCGUUGGGCUAUCAAACGAACUCCGAAUGCGAUGAAACCUGGCAGGCGGCCUACCUACAACAUAACAAGACCGCACGCCAACUCUCAUCCCAUUCUGAGAACAUUUUGCGGCCACUUAUAAAAUAAUAUUUUGGACAUGCCGCGGGCGCGUGCAAGUGUGUCUGGGCUCAGAACGGACAACGGACGAAACGAGGAGACCGGGACAAAUGCAAGUUUUGAAAACAUGAUGAUGCAAUGCACAUGAUGACAUGAUAAGAUGCAACACGCAAGCAAAUGACAUGGCAACGACGGCGAAUAACUGGACGACAACUGGCACAUCGGUCUCGGGGCGUUACAUUAUGCUACUACUGAAAAAGAAUUUUUAGCAGUUGUAUUUGCUUGUGAUAAGCUCAGACCUUAUAUUGUUGAUUCUAAAGUAACUUUUCACACUGAUCAUGCUGCUAUUAAAUACCUUAUGGAAAAGAAAUAUGCUAAACCUAGACUUAUUAGAUGGGUUCUCUUGCUAUAAGAAUUUGAUUUGCAUAUUAUUGAUAGAAAGGGAGUUGAGAACCCCGUUGCAGACAACUUGUCUAGGUUAGAGAAUGUUCUUGAUGACCCACUACCUAUUGAUGAUAGCUUUCCUGGUGAACAAUUAAAUGUCAUAAAUGCUUCUGGUACUGCUCCAUGGUAUGCUGAUUAUGCUAAUUAUAUUGUUGCUAAAUUUAUACCACCUAUUUUCACAUACCAGCAAAAGAAAAGGUUCUUCUAUGAUUUAAGGCAUUACUUGUGGGAUGACCCACAUCUUUAUAAAGGAGUAGAUGGUGUUAUUAGACGUUGUGUACCUGAGCAUGAACAGGAACAGAUCCUAUGCAAGUGUCACUUUGAAGCCUAUGGAGGACACCAUGCUGGAGAUAGAACUGCACAUAAGGUAUUGCAAUCCGGUUUCUAUUGGCCUAAUCUCUUCAAGGAUGCCCGUAAGUUUGUCUUGUCUUGUGAUGAAUGUCAAAGAAUUGGUAAUAUUAGUAGACGUCAGGAAAUGCCUGUGAAUUAUUCACUUGUUAUUGAACCAUUUGAUGUUUGGGGCUUUGAUUAUAUGGGACCGUUUCCUUCCUCUAAUGGGUAUACACAUAUUUUAGUUGUUGUUGAUUACAUUACUAAGUGGGUAGAAGCUAUUCCAACUAGUAGUGCUGAUCAUAACACCUCUAUUAAGAUGCUUAAAGAAGUUAUUUUUCCGAGGUUUGGAGUCCCUAGAUAUUUAAUGACUAAUGAUGGUUCACAUUUUAUUCAUGGUGCUUUUCGUAAAAUGCUUGCUAAGUAUGAUGUUAAUCAUAGAAUUGCAUCUCCAUAUCACCCGCGGUCUAGUGGUCAAGUGGAAUUGAGUAAUAGAGAGCUCAAAUUAAUUUUGCAAAAGAUUGUUAAUAGAUCUAGAAAAAAUUGGUCCAAGAAACUUAAUGAUGCAUUAUGGGCUUAUAGAACUGCAUAUAAAAAUCUUAUGGGUAUGUCUCCGUAUAAAAUGGUUUAUGGUAAAGCAUGUCACUUACCUCUUGAAUUAGAACAUAAGGCAUAUUGGGCUAUUAAAGAGCUCAACUAUGAUUUCAAACUUGCCGGUGAGAAGAUGCUUUUUGACAUUAGCUCACUUGAUGAAUGGAGAACCCAAGCCUAUGAAAAUGCCAAGCUGUUCAAAGAAAAAGUUAAAAGAUGGCAUGACAAAAGGAUACAAAAGCGUGAGUUUAAUGUAGGUGAUUAUGUAUUGCUAUCAACUCUUGUUUGAGAUUUUUUUGCAGGCAAACUCCUCUCUAAAUGGGAAGGUCCUUACGUCAUCGAGGAGGUCUAUAGUUCCGGUGCCAUGAAAAUCAACAACUUCGAAGGCACAAAUCCGAGGGUGGUGAACGAUCAAAGAAUCAAACAUUAUAUCUCAGGCGAUCCUAUAAAAGUUGAAACUAAUGUUAUUGAAACCGUAACCCCGGAGGAAUAUAUAAGGGACACUUUCCAGAAUGUUUCGGACUCCAAAAAGGAAUAGGUACGUGGUACGGUAAGUAAACCGAGUCCAAAACAGUUCUAAUGGACAUUUUUCUCCGUUUUGGAAUAUUUAAGAAAAUAGGAAAAUAAGAAGCAGAUCGGAAAGGACACGAGGCUUCCAUGAGGGUGGAGGGUGCGCCCUACCCCCCUGGGCGCGCCCCCUGCCUCGUGGGCACCUCGUGCACUCUCCGGACUCCGUUUUCUUGCAUGAUACUUCUUUUGGUCGGUAAAAAUUCACUAUAUAAUCUCCCGAAAGUUUUGACCAUCGUAUCACGCAAAUAUAUCUUGUUUUUGUUUCGAGCUAUUUUCUGCCAGGGUUGUCAAGGCCAGGCAUCAUGUCGUCUCCCUCCUCCUCCAACAAUGAGGGUAACGAUGCUUGGCUAAUGAAGAUAGAGCUGAAGAGAGAAGAACCCGGAGAGAUCAACAAGGAUGAUGGGAUCAAGAAAGCCACGGGGGAUCAAGUCCAGGCAGUAGCAGAAGAAGACAUCCUUCAACCUCACCACAAUCUCUUUAACCCAAUGGAGAUUGAAGCUUUCAAGAUGAUUGAGUUAGCUCGCAUUCAAAACAAGUAUCUCACAAGUGAAAAUAUUUUGUUGAAGGAGCAUAUCAUCGCACUCAAGGGCAUUAUCCGCAAAUUGGAGGAUCUCCUAUGCUCGAUGUGUGACUAGACAUCAUCGCCAACACCUUCUUGACCAACAAAGAAGAACUGAGCAUCGGGUAUGGGCACUCCCCUUGGCAACUGCCAAGCUUGGGGGAGUGCCCCAGUAUCGUAUCACCAUCACUUUUACCUUUACCGUUUUUCUUAGUUCGAUCCUUUUGAUAAUAUCUUGAUCUAGUAGAAUAAAGUUUUAGUAUGAUCUAGUUGUGAGUUUUGCUUUAUGAUCCUUCUAUGUAAUCGAGUCCAUGAGCUAUAUAUAAUAAAGAUUAGUGUUGAGUCAAGGGCUUGAUUAUUUUGCUAUGAUCUUGAGGGAAUGAAAUAAAAGAGGAGAAAUAAAAAGAAAUAAAGGGAUCAUAUGGAUCUUAUGGAGAGUAAUGGCUUCACAUAUAAAGAGUAUGAUGAAUAAAAAUUGUUGAAAGUUGACAAACAUAGUUUUGGUCAUCGUUGCAAUUAAUAGGAAGUAAUAAAGAAAGAGAGGUCUUCACAUAUAAAUAUACUAUCUUGGACACCUUUUAUGAUUGUGAGCACUCAUUAAAGUAUGAUAUGCUAAAGAGUUGACGUUGGACAAGGAAGACAGCGUAAUGGGUUAUGUUUUCUUACAUCUGAGAUAAAUUAUAUUGUCAUGGAUCAUCCAACAUGUUGAGCUUGCCUUUCCCUCUCAUGCUAGCCAAGUUCUUUGCACCAAGUAGAAAUACUAUUUGUGCUUCCAAAUAUCCUUAAACCCAGUUUUGCAAUGACAGUCCACCAUACCUACCUAUGGAUUGAGUAAGAUCCUUCAAGUAAGUUGUCAUCGGUGCAUGCAAUAAAAAUUGCCUUCUAAAUAUGUAUGAUUUAUUAAUGUAGAGAAAAUAAGCUUUAUACGAUCUAGUGAUAUGGAAGAAAUAAAAGCGACGGACUGCAUAAUAAAGGUCUAUAUCACAAGUGGCAAUAUAAAGUGACGUUCUUUUGCAUUAAGAUUUUGUGCAUCCAGCCAUAAAAGCGCAUGACAACCUCUGCUUCCCUCUGCAAAAGGGCCUAUCUUUUACUUUUAUCUUCUACCUUAUAUAAGAGUCAUGGUGAUCUUCACCUUUCCUUUUUACAUUUUAUUGUUUGGCAAGCACAAUGUGUUGGAAAGAUCCUGAUAUGUAUGGCUAAUUGGAUGUGGGUUUGCAUGAACUGUUAUUGUUGACAUUACCCUUGAGGUAAAACAUUGGGAGGCAAAACUAUAAGCCCCUAUCUUUCUCUGUGUCCGAUUAAAACUCCAUACCCAUAAAUAUUGCGUGAGUGUUAGCAAUUGUGAAAGACUAAAUGAUAGUUGAGUAUGUGGACCUGCUGAAAAGCUCUUAUAUUGACUCUUUCCUAUGUUAUGAUAAAUUGCAAUUGCUUCAAUGACUGAGAUUAUAGUUUGUUAGUUUUCAAUGAAGUUUCUGAUUCAUACUUGAAACUGUGAUUGAAUUGUUACUUUAGCAUAAGAGGUCAUAUGACAACAUAUAUAUAUAUAUAUAUAUAUAUAUAUAUAUAUAUAUAUAUAUGUUGCUGUUCUAAGAAUGAUCAUGAUGCCCUCAUGUCUGUAUUUUAUUUUAUCGAUACCUCUAUCUCUAAACAUGUGGACAUAUUUUUCGAUUUCGGCUUUCGCUUGAGGACAAGCGAGGUCUAAGCUUGGGGGAGUUGAUACGUCCAUUUUGCAUCAUGGUUUUAUAUCGAUAUUUAUUGCAUUAUGGGAUGUUAUUACACAUUAUGCCCCAAUACUUAUGCCUAUUCUCUCUUAUUUUACAAGGUUUACAUGAAGAGGGGGAAUGCCGGCAGCUGGAAUUCUGUGCUGGAAAAGGAGCAAAUAUUAGAGACCUAUUUUGCACAGCUCCAAAAGUCCUGAAACUUCACGGAAGUUAUUUUCAGAAUAUAUAAAAAAUACAAAGCGAAGAAUGUUGGGGAACGUAGCAGAAAUUCAAAAUUUUCCUACGCGUCACCAAGAUCUAUCUAUGGAGAAACCAGCUACGAGUAGAAGGAGAGUGCAUCUACAUACCCUUGUAGAUCGCUAAGCGGAAGCGUUCAAGUGAACGGGGUUGAAGGAGUCGUUCUCGUCGUGAUUCAAAUCACCGAUGAUCAAGUGCCGAAUGCACGGCACCUCUGCGUUCAACACACGUACAGCCCGGUGACGUCUCCCACGCCUUGAUCCAGCAAGGAGAGAGGGAGAGGUUGAGGAAGACUCCAUCCAGCAGCAGCACAACGGCGUGGUGGUGGUGGAGGAGCGUGGCAAUCCCGCAGGGCUUCGCCAAGCACCAUGGGAGAGGAGGAGUAGGGAGAGAGGUAGGGUUGCACCAAGAGGGAGAGAACUCAUGUGUAUGGCAGCCCCAAACCUCAUCUAUAUAUAGGGGGAAGGGGGGGCUGCGCCCCCUUUAGGGUUUCCUACCCCCAAGGGGUGCGGCCAGCCCUAGAUAGCAAAGGGGAGGCGGCCAAGGGGGGGGGAGGAGAGGGAGGCGCACCAAUAUGGGCCUUAAGGCCCAUCUGGACUAGGGUUUGCCCCCUCCCACUCUCCCUUGCGCCUUGGCCCCCUUGUGGGGGGCGCACCAGCCCUCCUAGGGGCUGGUCCCCUCCCACACUUGGCCCACGCAACCUUCUGGGGCAGGUGGCCCCACUUGGUGGACCCCCGGGACCCUCCCGGUGGUCCCGGUACAAUACCGAUAUCGCCCGAAACUUUUCCGGUGACCAAAACAGGACUUCCCAUAUAUAAAUCUUUACCUCCGGACCAUUCCGGAACUCCUCGUGACGUCCGGGAUCUCAUCCGGGACUCCGAACAACAUUCGGUAACCACAUACAAACUUCCUUUAUAACCCUAGCGUCAUCGAACCUUAAGUGUGUAGACCCUACGGGUUCGGGAGACAUGCAGACAUGACCGAGACGUUCUCCGGUCAAUAACCAACAACGGGAUCUGGAUACCCAUGAUGGCUCCCACAUGUUCCACGAUGAUCUCAUCGGAUGAACCACGAUGUCAAGGACUUAAUCAAUCCCGUAUUCAAUUCCCUUUGUCUAUCGGUAUGUUACUUGCCCGAGACUCGAUUGUCGGUAUCCAAUACCUUGUUCAAUCUCGUUACCGGCAAGUCACUUUACUCGUUCCGUAACACAUCAUCCCGUGAUCAACUCCUUGGUCACAUUGCGCAUAUGAUGAUGUCCUACCGAGUGGGCCCAGAGAUACCUCUCCGUUUACACGGAGUGACAAAUCCCAGUCUCGAUCCGCAUAAAACAAUAGAUACUUUCGGAGAUACCUGUAGUGCACCUUUAUAGUCACCCAGUUACGUUGUGACGUUUGAUACACCCAAAGCACUCCUACGGUAUCCAGGAGUUACACGCUCUCAUGGUCAAAGGAAGAGAUACUUGACAUUGGCAAAGCUCUAGCAAAUGAACUACACGAUCUUUUGUGCUAGGCUUAGGAUUGGGUCUUGUCCAUCACAUCAUUCUCCUAAUGAUGUGAUCCCGUUAUCAACGACAUCCAAUGUCCAUAGCCAGGAAACCAUGACUAUCUGUUGAUCACAACGAGCUAGUCAACUAGAGGCUCACUAGGGACAUAUUGUGGUCUAUGUAUUCACACGUGUAUUACGAUUUCCGGAUAAUACAGUUAUAGCAUGAAUAAAAGACUAUUAUCAUGAACAAAGAAAUAUAAUAAUAACUUAUUUAUUAUUGCCUCUAGGGCAUAUUUCCAACAGUCUCCCACUUGCACUAGAGUCAAUAAUCCAGUUCACAUCGCCAUGUGAUUAACACUCACAGGUCACAUCGCCAUGUGACUAAUACCCAAGAGUUUACUAGAGUCAGUAGUCUAGUUCACAUCACUAUGUGAUUAACACUCAAUGAGUUUUAUGUUUGAUCAUGUUGCUUGUGAGAGAGGUUUUAGUCAACGGGUCUGAACCUUUCAGAUCCGUGUGUGCUUUACAAAUCUCUAUGUCAUCUCCUAGAUGCAGCUACCACGCUCUAUUUGGAGCUAUUCCAAAUAACUUUUCUGCUUGGAGCUAUUCUAAAUUAUUGCUCCAUUAUAUGUAUCCGGUCUCUCUACUCAGAGCUAUCCGGAUAGGUGUCAAGCUUGCAUCGACAUAACCCUUUACGACGAACUCUUUUACCACCUCCAUAAUCAAGAAAAUUCCUUAGUCCACUAGUUACUAAGGAUAACUUUGACCGCUGUCUGUGAUCCAUUCUUGGAUCACUCUUGUACCCCUUGACUAACUCAUGGCAAGGCAAACUUCAGGUGCGGUACACAGCAUAGCAUACUGUAGAGCCUAUGUCUUAAGCAUAGGAGACGACCUUCGUCCUUUCUCUCUAUUCUGCCAUGGUCGAGCUUUAAGUCUUAACUUCGUACCUUACAACUCAGGCAAGAACUUCUUCUUUGACUGAUCCAUCUUGAACACCUUCAAGAUCAUGUCAAGGUAUAUGCUCAUUUUGAAAGUAUUAUUAAGCAUUUUGAUCUAUCCUUAUAGAUCUCGAUGCUCAAUGUUCAAGUAGCUUAAUCCAGGUUUUCUAUUGAAAAACACCUUUCAAAUAACCCUAUAUGCUUUCUAGAAAUUCUACAUCAUUUCUGAUCAACAUAUACUCAUCAGAAAUUCUAUAGUGCUCCCACUCACUUCUUUGGAAAUACAAGUUUCUCAUAAACUUUGUACAAACCCAAAAUCUUUGAUCAUCAUCAAAGCAUACAUUCCAACUCCGAGAUGCUCACUCCAGUCCUUAGAAGGAUCGCUGGAGCUAGCAUACAUUUUAGCAUCCUUAGGAUCGACAAAAACUUUCUGAUUGUAUUACCUACAAUCUUUCCUCACGAAAACUGGUAAGGAAACUCGUUUUGAUAUCCAUCUGCCAGAUUUCAUAAAUACAGCUAAUGCUAACAUGAUGUAACGCCCUCGAUGCGGCUAUAUCUCCCACGUGUCGAAGCACGACUUAGAGGCAUAACCGCAUUGAAAGCAAUGUCGCAAGUGAGGUAAUCUUCACACAACCCAUGUAAUACAUAAGGGAAAGAGAUACAUAGUUAGCUUACAAUCGCCACUUCACACAAUUACAUGAAUAAAGCAUUACAUCAUCCAGAUACAAUCAAGGUCCGUCUAUGGAACCAAAAUAAAAGAAGAACCCCAAAUGCGACAAAGGUCCCCGAUCGACCCCAACUGGGCUCCACUACUGAUCAACUAAAACGAAACAACACAAAGGGCAAGAUCUUCAUCGAGCUCCUCCUUGAGCUUGGUUGCGUCUCCUGCUCGGUAAUAUAGGCACCUGCAAACUGGUUUUGAAAGUAUCUGUGAGCCACGGGGACUCAGCAAUCUCGCACCCGCGAGAUCAAGACUAUUUAAGCUUAUAGGAAGGAUGGAGUGAUGAGGUGGAGCUGCAGCAAGCGACUAGCAUAUAUGGUGGCUACAAUCGCAAAAGAGAGCGAGAAGAGAAGCAAGGCACGGUCGUGAAGCUAGUAGCGAUCAAGAAGUGAUCCUGAAACUACUUACGUCAAACAUAACUCCAACACCGUGUUCACUUCCCGGACUCCGCCGAGAAGAGACCAUCACGGUUACACACACGGUUGAUGUAUUUUAAUUAAGGUCAACUUCAGGUUUUCUACAACCGGACAUUAACAAAUUCCCAUCUGCCCAUAACCGCGGGCACGGCUUUCGAAAGAUAAUACCCUGCAGGGGUGUCCCAACUUAGCCCAUAACAAGCUCUCACGGUCAACGAAGGAAUAGACCUCCACCCGAGACAUUCCGAUCAGACUCGGUAUCCCGGUACAACAAGACAUUUCGACAGGGUAAAACUAAACCAGCAACACCGCCCGAAUGUGCCGACAAAUCCCGAUAGGAGCUGCACAUAUCUCUUUCUCAGGGCACACUCAGAUUGUCCAAGGUACGGGUAGGCCAACCCAGAGUUGCCCCUGGUGGCCACCGGCAGCUGACAGGUUGGACCAACACUCAGAGGAGCACUGGCCCGGGGGGGUAAAAUAAUGAUGACCCUUGAGUCUGCAGAACCCAAGGGAAAGAAAAGGCUAGGUGGCAAAUGGUAAAACCAAUGUUGGGCAUUGCUGGAAGAGCUUUACUUAAGACGAACUGUCAAGGGGUUCCCAUAAUAGCCCAACCGCGUAAGGAACGCAAAAUCCGGGAACAUAACACCGAUAUGACGGAAACUAGGGCGACAAGAGUGGAACAAAACACCAGGCAUAAGACCGAGCCUUCCACCCUUUACCAAGUAUAUAGAUGCAUUAAUUAAAUAAGAUAUAUUGUGAUAACCCAACAAGUAAACAUGUUCCAACAAGGAACAACAUCUCCAUGUUCCAACAAGGAACAAACUUCAAUCUUCACCUGCAACUAACAACGCUAUAAGAGGGGCUGAGCAAAGCGGUAACAUAGCCAAUCAACGGUUUGCUAGGACAUGGUGGGUUAGAGGUUUGACAUGGCAAUUUGGGAGGCUGACAAGCAAAUGAUAGGCAUCGUAGCAUUGGCAUGGCAAAAGAGCGAGCAAACUAGCAUAGCAAAGAUAGCAGUGAUUUCGAGGGUAUGAUCAUCUUGCCUGAAAUCCCGCAAGGAAGAAGAACGAGUCCAUGAAGAAGACAAACGGACGUAGUCGAACGAAUCCUCACAACUCCGGAACAAAACCGAAGCUAACGAGAGAAGCAACCCGGAAAGAAACAAACAACAUAGUAAACACACAAGCAUAAACAAGUCAUGAUGCACAAACAAGUAUGAUGCAUGUCCGGCUUAAUGAGGCAUGGCAUAGCAAAGUGCAACAAACAAUACUACAAGUUAAGUGGAGCUCAACAUGCAACGAGGUGCAUGUUGACGGAACACCACAUCAAUUAUUUAGUUAUCUCUCGUUUAAGCUACCCAACAAUAUUAACUGUUGUUAAACAUGGCAAGAGGUGAAGCAUAAUAUAAACUAUACCAUCUAAACAAUUUAAAUGGGGCCGGAUAUAAAAACAACAAAUCCGGUAAAGCCCCAUAUGCAUUUAGCAAUUUAAUGCAACAACAAGUUUAAACAUUUUAAAUGUUGUUAUCAUGAUGCGGAUGACAUAUACAAGUUUUAUGCAAUUUUAUGAAAAUGUUGACAUGAGCAUGUUAUGAAGCAUUUGGUCACCAUGGCGGAACAAAAAGGGUGCCACGGCGGCGAAACAAAAAUGGUGCCACGGCAACAUUCCGGUCCCGAUAGCUCAUGGAGAUACCGGUGCAAAAGGAAAAGUGACGAGAGCGUGACAUGCGAUAGAAGGUGGGGUGAUCCCGGAUACCGGGUUCCCACAAGAUGGUGGCAUGGCAACGAGGUGAAACAUGCACGCGACAAUUUCGGACACGGUGCAAACAUAAGCAUCUCAUACAACAAAGCAUUCGUUCCACGGCGGUCGUUCUCGGUGGUUAUACCUUCGAAGAGUGCAUUCGGGGCGGAACGCGUUUCGUAGAGGAAGUAGUCGUUCACGGGCCGUAGUGGAGGUAGUCGUACACGGCGUAGUGGAAGUCGUUGUACACGGCGACGAUAGUUGUACACGUUCGUUUCGUAGAUGUCCAGGGUCAUCGGUAGAGGUACACGUUUCGGAGAGGAACUUGUCGUAUCCAUGUAGUCGUUCACGUGUGACCGUGGUGUAGUCAUACAUGUCGGCGACAGUGGAACUUGGCGGUCUCGACGGUCAUCGGGGUACUUGUUGGUCCGGUCUUGGCGUCCGCAAUCGUAGUGGUACUUGGCGGUUUCGUGUAGUCGAACUUGACGAUCCAGGUAUGGGUCUUGGCGGUCUUAACGAAUCCAAGGACAGAACCAUGGCGAGGUUCAGCAGCUCCCCCACGUCCAUGAUGAAAAACGAAGCUCGGGCAGGGAGUCGGAGCAGCAAGCGGGGCUCGCUGGGCCUCGGCGCCGGUGCAGGGACUCCGGCAGGCGGGACUUGGCGGCAGCAGCAGGUCCAGCAGGGGUCGCCGGGGCUGGACGGCACGAGGACGACGCCGACGAGCUCCACGGCCACGGCGGACGGCAGAACUGGACGGAUUCGAGGGCAGGGAGACGGCUUGGCGACGCGGGACUUGAGGCGCAGGAGGAUGAUGGCUGCGGGCACGGGUGCUCGAGGAGCUCCUCUCCUCGGGCGCUCGGGCGACGGGGACGCCAUGGAGACCAGGCGCGAGGUGGAGGGAGCAGCUCCGUCGUGGCGGGGUACGAGGCGAGGACGAGGAAGCCAAUGGGAGGCGUCGCGCACGGGGUGGCCCUCCUGGUGGUCGCCAACGGCGGCGGGUGGCGACGGGGCUCCGGCCUGGUGGCUGCUCGGGGAUCCAGCAGGCGGGGCUCGCGCCGCGGCGGCGGCUGAUAGACGAGGAGGCGGGCGAAGUGGGGCUUCGGCUGUGGGGCGCUGCGGGAUGAAGAGGGAGCGAGGAGAAGGGAGAAGACGAGCGCGAGGAGAGGGAGAGAUGGGGAUCGGGCGCAGGAGGUGAGGCGUGCGUGCGGGUGUGGUGGCGGGCAGGGAACGAGAGGGAGAGAGAUGCGGAGGAGGGGGUCGGGCUAGGUUAGGAGGGUUAGGUGGGCUGGGCCUGAGAGGCCGGUUGGGUCGGCCCAGGUGGAGAGGAAAUGGCCAGAGGCCUGGCUGGGCUUACCUCUCUCUUCUCUCUAUCUUAUAUUUACUUUAGCAGAAAAGCAAAAAGAGAGAAGAAAAGAAAAGGAGGGUUAGGGAAAGAAAAUGCGCAAGGGGAUAAUUUCCUUGGACUCACAAAAAUAUGCUCGUACCAAGAAAAAUAGAAAGAGGCAUGAUUGAAAGAUUAAAUUCAAACUCAUUUGAUUUAAAUUCAAAUGAUUUGAAUAGGAAGUGAGGUUUGGGAAGGUCCAAAAAUGUUCGGAUUUUUGGUGGAGCUCCGGAAAAUGAUGAAAUAAUUUAUGGGCAGAGUUGGAGACCAAGAAUUAAGAUAAUAAAGGCAUUGGGAUAUUUUGCAAGUGUGUUAAGGUGAUUCCAAAACAAUGGAAUAUUUUAUUAUAGCUCCCUAAAUAUCGGGAGGGUAUGUUAUAAAGAGAAGUCACCCUUCCCUCGAUUUAAAUGGAUCAAAGAUCCAUACAAUUUAUUUAGUUGAGUUUUAAAAAUUAAAUGGCAUGAUGGCAUGAUGACAUGAUGCAAUGCAAAAAUAAAAGAGCAAGCACAAAAGAAACACAUGGCAAAACUCGGAAUAGCUGGAAGUCUUCUGAAGCAUCGGUCUUGGGGCGUUACAACACUCCACCACUACGAGAGGAUCUCGUCCCGAGAUCUAGGAUGGCACCGGAGGGAAACGGAAGAGGAAGAUAAGCGGUAAAACUAAGUUGCUUCUUCGACCAAUGAGUGAAACCAUGAACCUUGAGAGGUUGAGAAAUUAGAGAUGAACGAGAUUGCAAACAAUCCGUUAGAAAAGAGGAACGAGGAACAUUACGGGAACUUGAAGGUUGCAAAGACACGAAUCAAGAGUUUAAUGGACAAGAUAGAAUUCGAAACCACUCCAGUUAAAACAAGAUGAGAGAGAAAGAAUUUGGGCAGCACUCCGGUUGAAGAUGGAAGGAAAAGAACAUGAAUUUGGCAAAAUGAAAGCACUUGGAUGAGACUCCGGUUAAAUGGAUAAGCAAGGAAAAGAACACGAUCCUCACAAUUCGAGAUGAUGAGUGAAAAGCACAACAUCACAAUGCCUCCGGAACGAAAGAAUAGAAGUUAGAUUGUUGGGAUAAAGGGGCGGAGAAGGAAAUGUCAACUCCUAACACAAUUUAAUUUGGAAAGCAUCCUUGCAGGAAGGUUAGAACAAAGUUGUUGGAAGACCAACAACGAAAAGAAUAAGUUUGUAGUGGGCUUAUGGAACACAUCUCAAAACUAUGAGGUGAAAUUCUGCCACUAAUGGAAAUGAUAUAUUAGAUUGAUAACAACAAGGAGAUGACAAGCUUAAUUCACCGGGAGGAUAGAUGAAUAACUUGGGUCAUUUAUAACCAACAUAGAUAGCAACAAGCCAUAGGGAAGGCUUUAGGUGAAAUCUAUACCAAGAUAACUCCAACAAAGAGAUUAAUGGAUUUAAAAUAUCUCAUACUUGAUAACUUGUGAAACACGAAGCACGAAGGGAAAUUAUCAAGAAUGACAUAAUACCACCUCCAAUGAUAUGGUAGAAAGGAAAUGCACUCCGGAUAGCAAGAUGAAGAAUACUUGAGUUUCUUAGAAAAGAAUCUCGAUGAACACUUUGAGAAGAAAUAUAAAUCCUUGAUGAACCAUCAUGUAGAACUUCCAUGAAGAACUCCGGUAACAAAAAGAUGAUCCAACGGAAGGAAAAAGAAGUUGAAAACACAAGGUGAAUCCUUGCAAUGAUUUAGAUAGAGAACUCCGGGAAAGAAAAGAUGAGCAACUCGAACUGAGAAUGUGAUACGAUGAACCACUCCGGAAAAGAAAUUGAAUAAACUUGAUGAAACAAGAAUAAGAAUUAUGUUAUGUCUAUCCUUCACCAAUUAAAUUGAUGACAAUCAACGGAUUUGACAUAUUACUUAUUCUCGUAGAAAAGAUUAAGAGAGAUAUAACAUAAACUUGAGAAGGUCUUCAACGAACCACCGGUAGGAUUGGAACAACAAAUGAAUUGAUAUGAUAAGAAAGAAGAAAAAAUCUUGAACGAACCAUCGGAAGAAUUAGCAAUGAAAGUAACAAAGGCACAAUUCACCGGGAAGAAUUGGAAAACGAAUGACGGUACUUGAGGCGAUUUAGAAACAUGAGAACGAAGAGAUCAUGAGCUGACUAGAGGGUAUAUGAACGAAUCACCGGUAAGAUUUGGAGAACAAGAGUUGAAGGUUGAGAAUGAGUAAUAUUCAGAAAUGAUGGCAUUCGGAUUAUCAAGAAAGGAAGCAACUCCUGAAAUGCAUCAGAUGGUUGAAAAGAAUUGUCACAAUCAAAACAAUUAUGAGGAUAGCAACAAGCUAGAAUCACGAAUCUCUGAGAGAGCGGAUAGAUAUGGAGGAAAAGUCUUCAUCGGUCUUCAAUAUCUGAGAAUGACGAUGAGAAACACUACCAAGAAUUAUUUAGACACUCCGGAAGAAUCCAAACGAAGAGGUUGAGCCAACGGUGAAGAGAAUUUGAAAGAUCUUGGAGAAAACAUUUGACUGAUGAUAAAUCAUUCUUAUGUCAAACUUCGAAAAGAAUUUUCAGAAUACCUUCGGGAAAAUAAGAAGAGUCAGGUAAGAUCCUGGAAAAAGACCUGUGGGUUAGGGCCCACUCAAAAGAAAACACCGUUGAACGAUUUAAAAGAGAGGCUGCACCGGUUGAGUUAAAUGGCUUGAAUGAGGGAACAUCCUCGAAAGAACUUGAACGAAAGUAGAGUGGAAACACGAAUCUUCGAGAUAUCUUGAGCACUCCGGAACAAUAGAAUAGCGAGAAAUGAAUAAAUAUGAGGAGCACCGUCAAGAGAAGGUAUUUGAAACGAGAAAAAGGGGAUAUAAUCGACAAAUCUUGACUUGAAUCCAUCGUAGAAGAGAAAAGACAAAGAAUGAUAACUUGAAGCUCCGUUACGAUCUUCAUGAGAAUCACCGGAUAAGAAUAUUGACGGAAAAGAAUAGAGAGAUUUCCACCAAUAAAAUGGAUACUUGAUUAAAAUAAAUGAGUCCUUGAAGAAAAAGGGGUGGGAGGGCGGGAAAACAAAAACAACUUGGGACGGAUGAAACAAACACCGUUGAGAAAACUGAGAGGUGAUCUUGCGAAUGUUGAAAUGAUCGGAUCCACUUGAAGAGAAAGACGCUGGUUGAAAAGGAUUGACAUGACAAUCUCGAUUGUCGAGAAGGAUUGGUAUUCACAUCGGAGUAUGAGAACACCAUUUCGGAAAGGUAUGGAAUCAACACUUGACAUUGAAGCAACUCGAAUACCACAACUCAAAACAAAAACAAAGGACUGGCUUGCAGAAUAAGCCGGAACAAACAUAUGAUAGAGAUUCCGUCCGAAGUUUUCGUGGUGGGGCCCACACGGGCUCGAGUGUACAACACCAUCAUGUACAAGGCAGUGCACAUGACAUACGAAGUGUCCCCGAACCAGCAUAGCCAAGGGUUCUUUAAGACACAACGAGACCACUGUAAAAACGACCGUGGAAAGGCGGACCACUAGACGUCGAACCCCAAUUGCAUAUCAUACAUCUGUCGAAAAGAUAUCCAAAGAGCUACUUGAAUUCCCACCUAUGAAACUCCCGAAAUUUUCCGGUUAUGCAAUCAAGUGUUGGGGAUACAGGGGAAGCAUAAUAUCUCACCCAAACUAGCAAAUCCUACAUCCAGCUGUAUCCAUCCUUCAACACAUAACCAAAAAAAAACUUCGGAAAUCCUCUACCUCAACCUUCGAAAAGCAUCCGUUAUACAAGUUAUGGCGAUACUCCCGAACUCCCGCCCCAGUACUGGGUGGCGUCGAGGUUAUCUCACCAACAACUGCAUAAAAGAGAUUUUCGAUGUCGGCGUACUAAACUCAGGUAUUCCAGAACUGCAACGAUAAAAUUAUGACGACAACACCUCAGUGCUCAACUCCCUGGGACACUUCCACUAAACCCCUGACAGGAGGCACCAAGAACAAUGUUCUCGUCAUAAAACCAUCGGAACGAUUCCAAGAUACCCGAGUGAUCCUAAAAUUUUUUAGUGAAAUUUGAGAAGAGAAGAGUCAAAACUCUACGUCAGGAUGCCUUACCAGAGCGAUGGGGAGACUGGGAAGUAAAAAGAAUUCCUAAACUCUCCGAUAUAUAAUUCCUAAAUGACUAAAAACAUUUUUUUCUAGACUCAAACUCGGCCGCUAAAAACGAUCAAGCAAUGGGGCUCCUAAGGUCGGGGAAGGCUCUGAUUACCAACUUGUAACGCCCUCGAUGCGGCUAUAUCUCCCACGUGUCGAAGCACGACUUAGAGGCAUAACCGCAUUGAAAGCAAUGUCGCAAGUGAGAUAAUCUUCACACAACCCAUGUAAUACAUAAGGGAAAGAGAUACAUAGUUGGCUUACAAUCGCCACUUCACACAAUUACAUGAAUAAAGCAUUACAUCAUCCAGAUACAAUCAAGGUCCAUCUACGGAACCAAAAUAAAAGAAGAACCCCAAAUGCGACAAAGGUCCCCGAUCGACCCCAACUGGGCUCCACUACUGAUCAACUAAAACGAAACAAC